GCCGACGUCGGAUAACCCGGUAUUCCGUCCGCCUUGAGAGCGGAUGCCCGUAAGGGUGUGUAGGUUCAAAUCCUGCCGUCGGCG
Molecule: transfer RNA, 84 nt
Filed under: Nanobdellati archaeon
Lineage: Archaea; Nanobdellati
Description: tRNA-Ser
Rfam family: tRNA
About the family: Transfer RNA (tRNA) molecules are approximately 80 nucleotides in length. Their secondary structure includes four short double-helical elements and three loops (D, anti-codon, and T loops).
Source: RNAcentral